RNAcentral lists this ribosomal RNA (336 nucleotides) under uncultured cyanobacterium. RNAcentral describes it as "bacterial SSU rRNA". It matches the Rfam family "Bacterial small subunit ribosomal RNA", at positions 356 to 707 of the family's 1533-position model. Lineage: Bacteria; Bacillati; Cyanobacteriota. The record is from RNAcentral.
GGGGAAUUUUCCGCAAUGGGCGAAAGCCUGACGGAGCAACGCCGCGUGAGGGAUGAAGGCCUCUGGGCUGUAAACCUCUUUUAUCAAGGAAGAAGAUCUGACGGUACUUGAUGAAUAAGCCACGGCUAAUUCCGUGCCAGCAGCCGCGGUAAUACGGGAGUGGCAAGCGUUAUCCGGAAUUAUUGGGCGUAAAGCGUCCGCAGGCGGUCUUACAAGUCUGUCGUUAAAGCGUGGAGCUUAACUCCAUUUCGGCGAUGGAAACUGUAAGACUAGAGUGUGGUAGGGGCAGAGGGAAUUCCCGGUGUAGCGGUGAAAUGCGUAGAUAUCGGGAAGAAC